Molecule: small nucleolar RNA, 214 nt
Organism: Emys orbicularis (European pond turtle)
Lineage: Eukaryota; Metazoa; Chordata; Testudines; Emydidae
Product: small nucleolar RNA U3
Exons: 1
Source: RefSeq, a predicted model, not a curated record
AAAACUAUGUUUUCAGGAAUUAUUUCUCUAGUUGGUGACUGGAGAAGGGUAGCUAUGAAUAGCUGAGCUUGCUAACCACCAUAAGACAUUGUAGUGUUUCUUUCUGAGCAUGAAAGUGAUAGAAAGCACUGUUCUAUGAUAGCUGCUUUUUGCUGUAGAAGAGUGUCUUGUUCUUUCUGAGAAAAGCAGGGGAAAGAUGCAUAGUCUAAGUGGU